UACGGAGGAUCCGAGCGUUAUCCGGAUUUAUUGGGUUUAAAGGGAGCGUAGGCGGGCUUUUAAGUCAGUUGUGAAAGUUUGCGGCUCAACCGUAAAAUUGCAGUUGAUACUGGAAGCCUUGAGUACAGUAGAGGCAGGCGGAAUUCGUGGUGUAGCGGUGAAAUGCUUAGAUAUCACGAAGAACUCCGAUUGCGAAGGCAGCUUGCUGGACUGUAACUGACGCUGAUGCUCGAAAGUGUGGGUAUCAAACAGG
RNAcentral lists this ribosomal RNA (253 nucleotides) under Bacteroides uniformis. Its description in RNAcentral is "partial 16S ribosomal RNA". It matches the Rfam family "Bacterial small subunit ribosomal RNA", at positions 524 to 776 of the family's 1533-position model. Lineage: Bacteria; Pseudomonadati; Bacteroidota; Bacteroidia; Bacteroidales; Bacteroidaceae. The record is from RNAcentral.